Molecule: long non-coding RNA, 178 nt
Organism: Prionailurus viverrinus (fishing cat)
Lineage: Eukaryota; Metazoa; Chordata; Mammalia; Carnivora; Felidae
Exons: 3
Source: RefSeq, a predicted model, not a curated record
GCACACCGCUGCUGGGACUGGCCAUCAGAACUAAAAGCUGCGCUUCCAGGAGUUCUGACCAAUUGGAAAAGACCUCACAGAGAAGGUUAAUCAGGAAAGUUUCCACCGUGUUCUGCUACUUGGAAACCUUUAAUGGCUCUCCAGCACCCACAGGAAAACUCUUUGAGUUUGGAUCCCA